GAUGAACGCUGGCGGCGUGCCUAAUACAUGCAAGUCGAGCGAACAGACGAGGAGCUUGCUCCUCUGACGUUAGCGGCGGACGGGUGAGUAACACGUGGAUAACCUACCUAUAAGACUGGGAUAACUUCGGGAAACCGGAGCUAAUACCGGAUAAUAUAUUGAACCGCAUGGUUCAAUAGUGAAAGACGGUUUUGCUGUCACUUAUAGAUGGAUCCGCGCCGCAUUAGCUAGUUGGUAAGGUAACGGCUUACCAAGGCAACGAUGCGUAGCCGACCUGAGAGGGUGAUCGGCCACACUGGAACGGAGACACGGUCCAGACUCCUACGAGAGGCAGCAGUAGGGAAUCUUCCGCAAUGGGCGAAAGCUUGACGGAGCAACGCCGCGUGAGUGAUGAAGGUCUUCGGAUCGUAAAACUCUGUUAUUAGGGAAGAACAAAUGUGUAAGUAACUAUGCACGUCUUGACGGUACCUAAUCAGAAAGCCACGGCUAACUACGUG
RNAcentral lists this ribosomal RNA (497 nucleotides) under uncultured bacterium. Its description in RNAcentral is "partial 16S ribosomal RNA". It matches the Rfam family "Bacterial small subunit ribosomal RNA", at positions 28 to 507 of the family's 1533-position model. The record is from RNAcentral.